Drosophila suzukii is the source of this 583-nucleotide non-coding RNA. The record is from RefSeq and is a predicted model, not a curated record. Lineage: Eukaryota; Metazoa; Arthropoda; Insecta; Diptera; Drosophilidae.
UUCGUGUUUGUUACACUCACACUAAUGUAAGGCAAACUUGUGAUGGUAUGUGUGUGCCGACCACUGUUCUAAAUGUACCGACAGUUGCAUAACUGUUGAAAAGCGUUCGUGUAAAUGGAAAGCAAAAAUUCUCCACACGGCUUCCAAACUGCUUGUCUCCCAUUUUCAUACGUUUUACUUCAUUUCGUUGGUCUUCAUGGGAAAAUGAAGCCUGAUCGCUGCCUUUAUUAAGUACAGCCACCAUCAUCUGAAGCCCUCCUUCGAUACAGGGGAUAACUAUUAAUUCCUGUUACUUCUUCUUUUGAAAGCUGACGGGGACACCUUUUUUAACAUUUGUCGUCAUUCAUGCACGGGGAACCACGGUUUAAUAUUCCGCAAGGUCCAUGAAUCAUAUUGGACUUUACGAUGUUAUGUAGCACGGGACCUUCUUGUGGAUCCAGAAUUUCUGCAUGUAUUAUUUCGUCUAUUUGAUCUGAUUUUUUACCAUUCUACAGUGUACAUAAAGCAUUGACAACUGUAACAAUGUUACAAACAAUUCGCCCUUGAAUAUAAGGGCCUUUAGUGCUUUAACUUUGAAAUGAAA